UACGUAGGUGACAAGCGUUGUCCGGAUUUACUGGGCGUAAAGAGCGCGCAGGCGGUCGAUCAAGUCGAGUGUGAAAGCCCCCGGCUCAACUGGGGAGGGUCAUUCGAUACUGAUCGACUCGAAGGCAGGAGAGGGUAGUGGAAUUCCUGGUGUAGCGGUGAAAUGCGUAGAUAUGUGGAGGAACACCGAUGGCGAAGGCAGCCCCCUGGGUUAACACUGACGCUCAUGCACGAAAGCGUGGGGAGCAAACAGG
RNAcentral lists this ribosomal RNA (253 nucleotides) under uncultured bacterium. RNAcentral's name for it is "partial 16S ribosomal RNA". It matches the Rfam family "Bacterial small subunit ribosomal RNA", at positions 524 to 776 of the family's 1533-position model. The record is from RNAcentral.